UCACACAGGAGUACGCCAUGAACGUUCGCAAGCUGUUGACCCUGGCCGCGCUGGUCGCCGCCGCGGUGGCCAUCCCGGUGGCGAUGGCCCAGGCGCAGAGCGCCGAUCCGGCUGCCUCCGGCGCCGCCGCCUACGAGGCGCAGGUCGCGAAGGAGAAGGCCGAGGCCGAGGCCAAGGCCAAGCGCCGCACCGCUGCGGCGGCCGAGCACAAGGCCGGCAAGGACGCGGCUGCGCCGAAGAAAGAGGAAGAAGAGGAAGCGCGCAAGCCCUGAGCGCGCGCCCUGUUGCGACCUGCGACGCCCCGGCUGCUGCUGGGGCGUUGUUGUUUUGUGCGGUCGA
Molecule: non-coding RNA, 339 nt
Organism: Xanthomonas translucens pv. undulosa
Lineage: Bacteria; Pseudomonadati; Pseudomonadota; Gammaproteobacteria; Lysobacterales; Lysobacteraceae
Source: Rfam